Molecule: long non-coding RNA, 602 nt
Organism: Cyprinus carpio carpio
Lineage: Eukaryota; Metazoa; Chordata; Actinopteri; Cypriniformes; Cyprinidae
Source: Ensembl
GGGUUAGAGUUAGGGUUAGGGUUAGGGUUAGGGUUAGGGUUAGGGUUAGGGUUAGGGUUAGGGUUAGGGUUAGGGUUAGGGUUAGGGUUAGGUUAGGGUUAGAGUUAGGGUUAGGGUUAGGGUGAGGGUUAGGGUUAGGGUUAGGGUUAGGGUUAGGGUUAGGGUUAGGGUUAGGGUUAGGGUUAGGGUUAGGUUAGGGUUAGGUUAGGUUAGGGUUAGGGUUAGGGUUAGGGUUAGGGUUAGGGUUAGGGUUAGGGUAGGGUUAGGGUUAGAGUUAGGGUUAGGUUAGGUUAGGGUUAGGGUUAGGGUUAGGGUUAGGGUUAGGUUAGGGUUAGGGUUAGGGUUAGGGUUAGGGUUAGGGUUAGGGUUAGGGUUAGGGUUAGGGUUAGGGUUAGGGUUAGGGUUAGGGUUAGGGUUAGGGUUAGGGUUAGGGUUAGGGUUAGGGUUAGGGUUAGGGUUAGGGUUAGGGUUAGGGUUAGGGUUAGGGUUAGGGUUAGGGUUAGGGUUAGGUUAGGGUUAGGGUUAGGGUUAGGGUUAGGUUAGGGUUAGUUAGGGUUAGGGUUAGGGUUAGGGUUAGGGUUAGGGUUAGGGUUAGGGUUAGG